ACACUCCUGCGGGAGGCAGCAGUGGGGAAUAUUGGACAAUGGGCGCAAGCCUGAUCCAGCCAUGCCGCGUGAGUGAUGAAGGCCCUAGGGUUGUAAAGCUCUUUCACCGGUGAAGAUAAUGACGGUAACCGGAGAAGAAGCCCCGGCUAACUUCGUGCCAGCAGCCGCGGUAAUACGAAGGGGGCUAGCGUUGUUCGGAUUUACUGGGCGUAAAGCGCACGUAGGCGGACUAUUAAGUCAUGGGUGAAAUCCCGGGGCUCAACCCCGGAACUGCCUUUGAUACUGGUAGUCUUGAGUUCGAGAGAGGUGAGUGGAAUUCCGAGUGUAGAGGUGAAAUUCGUAGAUAUUCGGAGGAACACCAGUGGCGAAGGCGGCUCACUGGCUCGAUACUGACGCUGAGGUGCGAAAGCGUGGGGAGCAAACAGGAUUAGAAACCCCGGUAGUCCC
This 447-nucleotide ribosomal RNA is filed under the name uncultured organism. RNAcentral's name for it is "partial 16S ribosomal RNA". It matches the Rfam family "Bacterial small subunit ribosomal RNA", at positions 333 to 797 of the family's 1533-position model. The record is from RNAcentral.